This 419-nucleotide ribosomal RNA is filed under the name bacterium. Its description in RNAcentral is "partial 16S ribosomal RNA". It matches the Rfam family "Bacterial small subunit ribosomal RNA", at positions 355 to 776 of the family's 1533-position model. The record is from RNAcentral.
UGGGGGAUAUUGCACAAUGGGCGAAAGCCGGAUGCAGCGACGCCGCGUGGGGGAUGAAGGCCUUCGGGUUGUAAACUUCUUUUGCUCUGAACAAGGCAUGCUAAUGGGUGUGUUGAGUGUAGGGGUUGAUUAGCGCCGGCUAACUACGUGCCAGCAGCCGCGGUAAUACGUAGGGCGCGAGCGUUGUCCGGAAUUAUUGGGCGUAAAGGGCUUGUAGGUGGCUGGUUGCGUCUGUCGUGAAAGCUCAUGGCUUAACUGUGGGUUUGCGGUGGGUACGGGCUGGCUUGAGUGCAGUAGGGGAGGCUGGAAUUCCUGGUGUAGCGGUGGAAUGCGCAGAUAUCAGGAGGAAUACCGGUGGCGAAGGCGGGUCUCUGGGCUGUUACUGACACUGAGGAGCGAAAGCAUGGGGAGCGAACAGG